Long non-coding RNA from Stegostoma tigrinum, 4646 nucleotides. RefSeq lists it as uncharacterized. The transcript has 3 exons. NCBI's taxonomy places the organism in Eukaryota, Metazoa, Chordata, Chondrichthyes, Orectolobiformes, Stegostomatidae. The record is from RefSeq and is a predicted model, not a curated record.
GAGGGCCAGGAUGGACAUGUCAAGUGGUAGAUCAAGACAUGGUCAUACAAAGGAAAAUCCACGUUGGGGCAUGCAGUUCACACAAACAAAGACGGGAUGACUGCACGGAGAUUGAUGACAGGAUACCCCACCAUGCCAUUCGUGUCGUGCGCCACAGUGACCAGCACAUCAGUGCCAGCUGAGUGAGGCGGUGUCAGUGCUUGUAACACAACCACACGGUGAAUGCCAGAGCGAAUCUCUAAGCCAGAGGUGGAGUGUCUUUCAUCGAGACGUGACACCGAUGGCGAGGGAAACCAUGUAAACAACUAACGGGGAAGUCGGCUGUCCCCGAGGCUAAGAAUCAAAAGCAGAAACCAUACCUUUCACCUCCAGUUUUGGCAACAGCGAGAGCAACAGUAGCAGCAGCACCUACUCCUCAGCCACAUGCCCAUCCGAUUGCAGGCAGUAUGCAAACUGGGAUCCAGUUAGAAUAACCUAAGACCCCAGUGUACAUCUUUGAGUACUAUAAGAGGUCCAGGCUUCCAAGGCUAUCUUCAGCUGACAACUGAAAACAUCAUCUUGGUGAAAUAGGUGGCGGAUAUUAUCAAUGGCUGACUGGCCAUCGAUGGCCACUAAGGUCAGUCACUGAACAGCUUUGAUAUUGUGAAACGUCCAACAAUAAGACAGUCACAUUUGGUCUGUUUGCUGGUGAGAUUUAACACAACCAUCAGAACCAAAAGUUCAUCCAGUCAAUGAAUCAGGUUCCAGAACAAACGCACAACAGCAAACAGCCUUUUCCAAUGCAUUGAGAACUAAUCUCCCAGAAAUUCAACUACAACAAGCAUUGUAAAUUCUCGUGAACCUUUUGUUUCCAAAGAACCUCAGUGAAACUUCAAGUCACCACAACCAAACAAAAGACUACAGGCCUUAAGUCAGAAGCAGAGAUACAUGUAAUCCACAAAAGAGCACUAUCUUUAUCUGUCUUCAAUUAUAUUGUGUUGGAUGUGUGAGUGAGACCAGGUAUAUGUGAGGGUUAAUUUAUAAAUAUCUGAGAGUAACCACUUUAUUUUUAAACUCCUGAAAACUUACAACUUAAUUAUUUAAUUGGAAUACAAAUUCAAAGGGGUUAAAAAGGCACACCUCUUUCCAUAGAAAAAUUUUGAUGACAGCAAUAGGAAAUUACAUACAUUCUGCUCAUGAUUUUAUAAAUUUUCAAUUGCUGCUUCUUUUUGUAAGGAAGUAACUUAACAUUGUGAUAUUCUACUGACCAAUCAAUUAAUCUGUGUGCAUUAUUUAUAUUGUUUUCAGUCUGUGAUACUCUGAAUCAAAGAGCUUUGUUUUAAAGUAAGUUGGUGUAUACUUAUUAAAGAAACUGUAACACAGCAUAAAGAAAUUAAAUUAUGCAAUGUUUAUAUUUACCAAACAACGUGACUAAUACUACAAGAUUUUAAGGUGUGCAGGCUUGAGGUAUUUUUACUUCCACCCGAGUGUGUACAGAUUUGCUUCAAGAUUAUUUUUUUUUCCCCUCCAGUUUCAGGUUUAAGAUAUAACAUCAUUUCAACAAUUCUUGUAUUAGAUGCAGGCUCCUACUGUUUUUUUUUUGUUUGCCUCUCACCUAGCAACUAUCACUUCUAUUACCACAUCUGAAAUAAGACACACACAGUACGUAACCUCUCAAACACCACCCUAUGAAACAUAAGAUAACAAAAAUGCCUGGGUGACUUCCUCAGACCUCCAAGGAUAUACUUGAAUGGUGGACACAAACUUUGUGCCUAAUUGAACUAUUUGUUAAGAUGUAAAGCCCUAUCUAAGACGGAAGCCUUUGAAAAGAUUAAAUAGAAUUUUCUCAGCACACCUUGACUUUACAAGGUGGACGGAGCAAUUUUAUUGGGUUGGACAUCUUCAUCCAAGCUCCAGUGAGUCCAAACAUUGUCUGUUACUCAGCUCUUUCAUGGCCAAGUGUUUCCUUCCCAGAGCAGUGUUAGUGUUGUGGUGAAACCUCUUCAUAUUGAUCAGCUCAUGAGAAGUCUCAGUCAUUUGCAAAACAGGUUGUUGUUGCCAAAAAUGCAUAAUGUUGAGUAUGAAGCCUGAUUAGGCCAAAUAGCUCACCCAAGAGAGGCAGCUACACUUGCUAAUAUGAGUAAAGCUCUUCCCACUCUUACCUGAAAAAUCAAUUAUCUCUUGGGGAGGUGGAGCCUGAAACAAGGGAGGAAAAGAAAUUUACAUUCCCAGCUAUCUAAUUUAUGUUUACAUUCAAUUAUGUGUACACAAUUUCUGGCUGUUUUGGUUUGCAAAAAUAUUCUGUGCACUAAUGUUUUCUAAUUGAUUUUCUUUGUUGCCAUCCAAUCACAUGUUAAUAUUUUCUGUCUUGAAAUUAAUUAGCAGGAUACUGGCUUGAAAGUACUUAAUAUAUUUGUCAGAAAUCUUUGCUUCUCAGUGAAAAUCUACCAAUUUGUAUGUUCAAACAGUGUGAAAUGGCUUAAUUUCAGGGUAUAUUAUGAAAUAACAAAAAUAGCUUGUUUAAACUGAAAUAAUUUUAGACAUGAAUUUAUUCCCUCUACGUCCAUAUUUAUUCCUGUCACGAAGGUGCGGAAAUAAAAUUCUUCAGAAUACGACCUUGCCUUGAAAACUUGACAAAGAUCUCUUGAUUAGGAUUAUUUGAAGUGAGCAGUAUUUUUGAAAAUGGCAACAUGGUAAACCAGAUCUUUCAGACAAAAAAACCUCACUGAUAGUUUACUUCCAUGAUAUAUAUACUGGGCUGAACAUAUAUGAGGCAUUACAUUUGUAUUUGCCAUUUUUUUUAAAAUGGAUUCAUGAUCUGAACAAGUUGCUGAUGGCAUUGUUUUUGCUAAAUCAAUUACCACCCACUCCCACAUAGAUAUAAAUGCAUUUUGCGACUGCUGAGCUGCGUACAGCUUAAAAAAAACAGAUGGUUCAUCUGCUCAAGAUAGUGCCUGCCUGUGCUAAUUAUGAAAAGGUGGAUUUAUACAGUGGCAUGUUGCAGUGAUGUACAAACAAUUUGUAAUAUCAGAUUUAUUUUGAAAUUUAUUUCUUUCUAAAUAUGGUUGAAUCAUUCUCCAUCUAAGUUAUUGAUGUUUUUGUUUUAUAACAUCUUCUAAAGCAUGCAUUGCUAAAACAGGAAGAGAAAUUUUGUAGUGAGACACCACUGAAGCUCUGUUGAAGUAAUGGUUAUUCUCUGGAGAGCUGCUAUGCUGCAGUCUGCCUUUUAUGAAUACGGCAAUGCAUUCAUAUCUGAGCCUACAGUGUGUGGCAGAUGAUUUAUCCUGUAUCUGGCAAUAAACAUCGUGCAAAAUCCUAAAAUUUUUCAUCAAUUUUAGAAUGAAGAAAUAUUUCUUACAGCCAGACUUGCACAUAGUUAGUCAAUAGAUGAGUAGUUUCAAGGUAGGAGCAAAUAAUCAAAGACUUCAAUGUUUGACUUCCUCACUGUUUUCUGGAGAUUAAUUUGGACAUACAAUGUAACAUUUUAGGUCCACCAAGAAAGAAUAGGAAUUCCUUUCACAACAAAGAUAUACAAAUUAAGCUUAACAAAUGCAUGUAAUGGUUGCUUACUUAGACAGUCUGGAAAAGGGAUACUUCUAAGUUAAAUAGAUAUCUGAAAUGCCACCAUUUAAUAUUUUCCACAUUGUAAACAAAUAUUAAUAUUCAUUAAAAUCAUUUGCUCUAUUGUGAUGUCUGAAAAUUAUGAACUAUCACUGAAGUAGAAAAUGGAAAUGAACUCCUUUUAUAAUGUGAGUUAAGUAACCUGGUCUUAUAAUAUAGUUGGCAAGAUUCAAAAUCUGUUUCCUUGUGACAGAUCGUGAUAGCUGAAUAGAUUUGUUUCAUCAUGGAAGUAAAUUCAUUAUCAGACCAGGAUGGAACAGAAGGUGCAAAAGGAAGAAAUGAGAUGACGUGAUGUCCUUCACCUUGUUAUCGAAAUGUGAAUCAAUAAAAAUCACCACUGGGAGCAGCGGAACUGGAUUUAAACUCUUGCUACCAAUAUAUGAAAUCUAAUAAUCGGUCAUUAAAGUCAUUUUACAAUUUGUAAAUCUUUGCUGAAAAUUCACCUUUCUUCAACUUUUUAAAUCAAUGUACUUUCUCCAUAAAAUAUUUCAGCCCCCUGGGAUGGAAUUUUAAAUGAAUUCUGAUUAAUCUCCACUAAUUACUCAUUUUAAUAUUAAAAUUUUCAGAAAUGAUUUGGAAAAUAUUUAGUAGUUCUGGUUUUCCUCCUGAAGUGAUUUCUGAUUUGCUUUUCAUACCAAGGAUGUCACAUCACUAGUUAAAAGGAGUGUGUUCCCAUUUCUCAUAUGCCUGUGUCAACACUAAAUAAAAUAUUUAAUUAAAACGUUAUUUCUUAAGGGAACAUAGAAAUAGGAAAGAAGCUACUAAAUUAAGCCCUCGGGAAUAUCGAAUAGCCACUUAAUCCAUCUGUUCACAAGAAAAUGUAUGUUUUUUUCUGCUGGUUAAGUAUUUUGACUUCUAUGAUAGAUGUUUGUAAUAUGUGAGGAAUCAUAUAUUUGGAGGUACCUUGUAUAUUUUAAAAUUGAUUUUGGUUACAUUGAAUGAACAUCUGUUUUCUACUUUCUGUGAAGGUACGACAACAACAUCUAAGCAAUGCUUUCCAUCUGCUUGUUCUUAGAAAAAAAAUGAGACCCAAAAUGUUCUGUCUU